AUGAACGCUAGCGACAGGCCUAACACAUGCAAGUCGAGGGGCGAGCACAAGGAGCAAUCUGAGGUGGCGACCGGCGCACGGGUGAGUAACACGUAUGCAACCUGCCUGUAAGCGGGGAAUAACCCGUUGAAAGACGGACUAAUACCGCAUAAUACUAAAUUACUGCAUGGUAAUUUAUUUAAACAUUUAUGGCUUACAGAUGGGCAUGCGCAUGAUUAGCUAGUUGGAGAGGUAACGGCUCCCCAAGGCAACGAUCAUUAGGGGUUCUGAGAGGAAGGUCCCCCACACUGGUACUGAGACACGGACCAGACUCCUACGGGAGGCAGCAGUGAGGAAUAUUGGUCAAUGGACGAGAGUCUGAACCAGCCAAGUCGCGUGCAGGAAGAAUGUCCCUAUGGAUUGUAAACUGCUUUUGCAGGGGAAUAAAGUGCAUCACGUGUGAUGUUUUGUAUGUACUCUGCGAAUAAGGAUCGGCUAACUCCGUGCCAGCCGCUGC
This 496-nucleotide ribosomal RNA is filed under the name uncultured bacterium. RNAcentral describes it as "bacterial SSU rRNA". It matches the Rfam family "Bacterial small subunit ribosomal RNA", at positions 29 to 518 of the family's 1533-position model. The record is from RNAcentral.